This 385-nucleotide ribosomal RNA is filed under the name uncultured Acholeplasma sp. RNAcentral's name for it is "bacterial SSU rRNA". It matches the Rfam family "Bacterial small subunit ribosomal RNA", at positions 991 to 1382 of the family's 1533-position model. The record is from RNAcentral. Lineage: Bacteria; Bacillati; Mycoplasmatota; Mollicutes; Acholeplasmatales; Acholeplasmataceae.
GCCGAUGCUUUAGAGAUAAAGACGGAGGUAUUCGGGGAGGACAGGUGGUGCAUGGUUGUCGUCAGCUCGUGUCGUGAGAUGUGGGUUAAGUCCCGCAACGAGCGCAACCCUAUUGCUAGUUACCAUCAUUAAGUUGGGGACUCUAGCGAGACUGCCAGUGAUAAACUGGAGGAAGGUGGGGAUGACGUCAAAUCAUCAUGCCCCUUAUGACCUGGGCUACAAACGUGAUACAAUGGCUGGAACAAAGGGAUGCGAAGCAGUGAUGUGGAGCGAAACCCAUAAAAACAGUCUCAGUUCGGAUUGAAGUCUGCAACUCGACUUCAUGAAGUCGGAAUCGCUAGUAAUCGCGGAUCAGAACGCCGCGGUGAAUACGUUCUCGGGGUUU